Molecule: unclassified non-coding RNA, 274 nt
Filed under: uncultured fungus
Lineage: Eukaryota; Fungi
Description: partial contains 5.8S rRNA, ITS2 and 28S rRNA
Rfam family: Eukaryotic large subunit ribosomal RNA
Source: RNAcentral
AAGGAGUCCAUCAUUUGUGCAAGUGAUUUAGUGACAAACUAAUACGCUCAAUGAAAGAAAACAAUGGGACUGAAUUGCACCAUUAACCGGUUUAUGUAUUUAAAUCUGAGUCAGAGCACAACUGUUGGGACCCGAAAGAUGGUGAACUAUGCCUGGAUAGGGUUAAGUCAGAGGAAACUCUGAUGGAAGCUUGUAGCGGUUCUGACAUGCAAAUCGAUCGUUGAAGUUGGGUAUAGGGGCGAAAGACUAAUCGAACCAUCUAGUAGCUGGUUCC